GACGAACGCUGGCGGCGUGCUUAACACAUGCAAGUCGAACGGAAAGGCCCUGCUUUUGUGGGGUGCUCGAGUGGCGAACGGGUGAGUAACACGUGAGUAACCUGCCCUUGACUUUGGGAUAACUUCAGGAAACUGGGGCUAAUACCGGAUAGGAGCUCCUGCUGCAUGGUGGGGGUUGGAAAGUUUCGGCGGUUGGGGAUGGACUCGCGGCUUAUCAGCUUGUUGGUGGGGUAGUGGCUUACCAAGGCUUUGACGGGUAGCCGGCCUGAGAGGGUGACCGGCCACAUGGGGACUGAGAUACGGCCCAGACUCCUACGGGAGGCAGCAGUGGGGAAUAUUGCACAAUGGGCGGAAGCCGGAUGAAGAAACGCCGGGUGCGGGAUGACGGCCUUCGGGUUGUAAACCGCUUUCGCCUGUGACGAAGCGUGAGUGACGGUAAUGGGUAAAGAAGCACGGGUUAACUACGU
RNAcentral lists this ribosomal RNA (467 nucleotides) under uncultured bacterium. RNAcentral describes it as "partial 16S ribosomal RNA". It matches the Rfam family "Bacterial small subunit ribosomal RNA", at positions 28 to 506 of the family's 1533-position model. The record is from RNAcentral.